UGAAUAAAGGGGCUAAGGAGAUAGCGAGC
Molecule: non-coding RNA, 29 nt
Filed under: Homo sapiens (human)
Lineage: Eukaryota; Metazoa; Chordata; Mammalia; Primates; Hominidae
Source: RNAcentral